UACCGGUCCAGUGACGUGGAUUCAGGAAACCUGUGCUAAUCUAUCUGACUGGAUUCUGGUCGUUUUCUCCUUGGAACGAUUACUGGUUCUAGCACGACCUUUCGUGUUCCGUCGAAUCCAGUCGCAAACGGUGGCACGCGGUGUUGUUGGUGUUCUGGCUAUUUUAUCUGCGGCAUUUGCCAUGCAUUUUUUCGUGGCGAAUGUUACGUGCUGGAAGUAUGACCUUUGGGAGCAUCCUCGCCGUACUCCCCGGUGGCUGAUUCGAUGGAAGACGGUGCAGGAAUUGGCACAGGGGAUUGUGAGUAUCCUGACCUUUGCCUUAGUAUUAGUCCAGAAUGCCGUUCUCAUGGUUUUUCUUAAGCGACAAAGUACAUCCGAAGUGACCAAAAUGCGCCUAUCCCGGCGCAGUAAUACAUCGGGAUCGAGUGAUCGUUAUACCAAUUUCCUCUUGCUCGACAGCGCACUACUCUUCUUAUCUUCCAAGUUUCCCAGUA
Molecule: long non-coding RNA, 494 nt
Organism: Paramacrobiotus metropolitanus
Lineage: Eukaryota; Metazoa; Tardigrada; Eutardigrada; Parachela; Macrobiotidae
Exons: 3
Source: RefSeq, a predicted model, not a curated record